RNAcentral lists this transfer RNA (65 nucleotides) under Macrosaldula sp. PJ-2017. Its description in RNAcentral is "tRNA-Asp". It matches the Rfam family "tRNA". Rfam says of the family: Transfer RNA (tRNA) molecules are approximately 80 nucleotides in length. The record is from RNAcentral. Lineage: Eukaryota; Metazoa; Arthropoda; Insecta; Hemiptera; Saldidae.
AAAGAGUUAGUUUAAUUCAAAACAUUAGAUUGUCAAACUAAAAAUAUUAUAUUUAAUACUCUUUA